Molecule: RNA transcript, 2822 nt
Organism: Gadus morhua (Atlantic cod)
Lineage: Eukaryota; Metazoa; Chordata; Actinopteri; Gadiformes; Gadidae
Gene name: putative nuclease HARBI1
Exons: 4
Source: RefSeq, a predicted model, not a curated record
CUACAACAGACGCCAUGGGGCCAGACACCUACCCCCACUUCAGCCUGGUGGUAACGUCCUCUCCAAGCUGGACCACCAGAAAUCCUGGACAGCUCCUGCAGUUGUGACCGCUGAGAGUGUCACGCCACGCUCUUACAUCAUCCAGACGCAGCAGGGGGCAAGACUCAGGCGCAACCGGCGCCACCUGCAGGAGAUGCCUGCUCCACAGCCGCCUGGAGGCAAAGCACCUGUCUUACCUGUUUGCACGGACAAUCCGGACAUCAAUCGACAGCAGGGGGACUCCAGUGUCAGCAUGCAUGCUGGUGCUGAAAAUCUGUCACAGACCAGGUCUGGACGGAUCUCUAAGCCAGUCAUCAGACUGGACUUGUGAGUUAACAUGUCCUCGCACUCAUGGCCUUUGGGGGGGAAGAAGGGAAAAGAGUUCCAGGCGUGGUAACCUUUAAACCACAUAAAAGAGUUCCAGGUGGUAAAGCCACAUAAAAAGAAAAAGAGUUCCAUAGAAUGUUAUAAACUGAUGUGUCUUAAUAUCAAAAGAGUUCAGGAAUGCAAACUGUUAUCUUAUAGUGAAAAGUAAUUUAAUAAUCGUUUGAUAAUCUAAAGGUUUAUUGAAUAUAAGUACUACAGAAGACAGACCAUGGGUUGAAUGUCGUUUAUUGAUAUUUAAUGAAGAAUGACAUUGUUUACAUUUCACAAGAUGUUUAAUGUGGUCCUGCUUAUUGCUACAGAAUAGCAUUGUUCUUUACAGAAUGUUUAUCUGUUUACUUUAUUGAGGAAAGUAGAACUAAAAAGGGGAGAUGUCAGAGUAUUAGUGUUUACGGUACUCUGCUUUACGGCUGUCGUAACGUAGCUGUUGUCUAUGGCUGUUGAUGUUUACUCUAGUGGGUGUUACGGCAGUGGGAGGGGGCUUUUCACGUGAGUCUUCACAUGUAUGCUGUGGACAUGAACCCGAGAGCUCCUGGAUAAAGUCAGAAGUAACAACUUACCUGUGUCUGGACAUUCCGUGUUUUAUUACACCUUCAACGUCGUUAUUAAGCACAUUCGAGGCAAGGAUAACGUGGUAGGAGAUGCGUUGUCGCGCUUGUGUUCCUGAUUCGUGGGGUGGAGCUACGACUACUAUCCCUACUUAAGGCGUGGCCUGUGCUCCCGAACGGGGGGGGUCUCUCAUUCUGGCAUCUUCACGUUGACCUGAGCUGCCUUUGAAUCCUGCAUUGAGGACUGCUAUCUAGGGCUGUUUCUGAAAUGUUAUACUACAUACUACAUACUGCAUACUGACACAGUAUAUACUGUGCACUACAUACUACUCCCCGCCAUAGUAUGCAGUAUAGUAUGCAAGUAUGACAAGUAUCAUGCAGUGCACUACACAGUCACAUGACCAAACAAUUGUGACGAAUUUGACGUGUCAGACUGGCGUGGUUUUCGAGCCGGCUCUCCCCUAAAUUUACGCAUAUAUUUUUUUUUUUUCAUAGGCCGAUAUAUUUUUUUACCAUUUUGAACAUUUUCAUUUUUUACCAUUUAACAUGUCGCACUUUUUAACAUGUCGCAGGAGAAGGGCACUGCUGAAUAAAACGGCAGUUGCGGUAAUAUUACAGCAGCAGGAGGCGCGCUAUGUUGACCUUAGGGGUCAGUAUUGUCAGCUGUUUCCCUUUUUUUUGGUGACGGCGACCUAAAGAAAGACUUCCGUCUUUCUAGGGAGUCCGUGAAUGCCCUUGUGGAGGCCCUGGUGGAUGAGCACAUCCAUGGCUGGGGGAGAGAACUGGAGGUGGCAGUUUUUCUAUACUGGCUGGCCAGUGCCACCUCCUACAGAGUGGUCUCUGAGGCCUUUGAUGUGCCUCUUUCCACCGUCCACAUGAUUGUCCAUCGGGUUGCAAAGGGAAUACUGCAGAUCUACACAAAGGCUGUAUGUUUCCCGUCUGAGGCUGAGCUGGAGGUCAUCGGAGCGGGGUUCGCCCAGCUGGCUGGUUCACCUGCCUUGAACCGUGUGGCUGGGAGCAUUGACUGCAGCCACAUUAGAAUAAAGCCUCCUGGGGAAUACAAGGAGGAUUAUUAUAAUAGAAAGUUGUUCCAUUCAAUUCAGCUGCAGGCCAUUUGUGACCAUAAAGGGCGCUUCCUCAAUGCUUUUGUUGGCCUUCCUGGCUCGGUCCAUGAUGCCCGGGUGCUCAGGUGGAGCUCUGUGUAUGUGCAGCAGCUGUACCCACCACCUGGGUGGUGCAUCAUAGGCGAUGGAGGCUAUCCUUGCCUUGCUACCCCCAUCUGCCUGAUGACCCCGUUCCGGGAGCCAGUACAGGGCCCCGUACAGGCCAGGUACAACAAGCACCUGUCAAAGGCAAGGUGUGUUGUGGAGAGGGCCUUCGGGAUGAUGAAGACCAGGUGGAGAUCCAUCUUUCUGAAGGCCCUUGAGGUAAAGUCAACCUUUGCCCCAGUGGUGGUGUCCUGCUGUGUCUUCCUCCACAACUUGUGCCUAUCAAAUGGAGACUUUGUGGAGCCAGGAGACUUUCCACAGGAUCUCCCCGACAACAAUGAAAUGCAGCAUGCUGUGGAACCAGGGGACAACAUCAGGCGCAGACUGGCUGCUGCUGUCUCUGCACCAAAUGCCUGCAUAGAUGCACUGAGAGAUCAUGUGUACUGAACAUGGUCUGCACCCUGGAGACUCAUUUGUAAAUAGUUAAAUAGUAUACCUGUAUAUAGUUCUUUGCUUUUUCCUAGUGUUGUCUUUUGUCUGUGUAUGCCCCAUGUUCCGUCUUUUGUGUUUUAUUAACCUUGUCCUGUCUUACUAACAAUUAUAUUCACAACUUGUUCAAUAAAAAUGAUUUGUUAUAACUAAA